RNAcentral lists this ribosomal RNA (323 nucleotides) under uncultured bacterium. RNAcentral describes it as "bacterial SSU rRNA". It matches the Rfam family "Bacterial small subunit ribosomal RNA", at positions 29 to 333 of the family's 1533-position model. The record is from RNAcentral.
AACGAACGCUGGCGGCGUGGAUUAGGCAUGCAAGUCGAACGCGAAAGAGGGGGUAACUCCUCGAGUAGAGUGGCGAACGGGUGAGUAACACGUGAGAAACCUGCCUUCAGCAGGGGGAUAACACUCCCAACGGGGUGCUAAUACCGCAUGAGACCACGGAUUCGCAUGGAUCUGGGGUCAAAGGUGGCCUCUGCUUGCAAGCUACCGGCUGAAGAUGGUCUCGCGCCCAUUAGCUAGUUGGUGGGGUAAUGGCCCACCAAGGCGACGAUGGGUAGCUGGUCUGAGAGGAUGGUCAGCCACACUGGGACUGAGAUACCGGCCCA